UACUCGAGUGGCGAACGGGUGAGUAACACGUGGGUGAUCUGCCUUGCACUUCGGGAUAAGCCUGGGAAACUGGGUCUAAUACCGGAUAGGACCAUGCUUUAGUGUGUGUGGUGGAAAGUUUUUUCGGUGCAAGAUGAGCCCGCGGCCUAUCAGCUUGUCGGUGGGGUAAUGGCCUACCAAGGCGACGACGGGUAGCCGGCCUGAGAGGGUGUACGGCCACAUUGGGACUGAGACACGGCCCAG
Molecule: ribosomal RNA, 243 nt
Filed under: uncultured Actinomycetales bacterium
Lineage: Bacteria; Bacillati; Actinomycetota; Actinomycetes; Actinomycetales
Description: partial 16S ribosomal RNA
Rfam family: Bacterial small subunit ribosomal RNA
Source: RNAcentral